RNAcentral lists this ribosomal RNA (253 nucleotides) under uncultured bacterium. RNAcentral's name for it is "partial 16S ribosomal RNA". It matches the Rfam family "Bacterial small subunit ribosomal RNA", at positions 524 to 776 of the family's 1533-position model. The record is from RNAcentral.
UACGUAGGGUGCGAGCGUUGUCCGGAAUUAUUGGGCGUAAAGGGCUCGUAGGCGGUCUGUCACGUCGGGAGUGAAAACUCAGGGCUUAACCCUGAGCCUGCUUCCGAUACGGGCAGACUAGAGGUAUGCAGGGGAGAACGGAAUUCCUGGUGUAGCGGUGAAAUGCGCAGAUAUCAGGAGGAACACCGGUGGCGAAGGCGGUUCUCUGGGCCAUUACUGACACUGAGAAGCGAAAGCAUGGGGAGCGAACAGG